GAUGAACGCUGGCGGCGUGCCUAAUACAUGCAAGUCGAGCGAACAGAUGAGGAGCUUGCUCCUCUGACGUUAGCGGCGGACGGGUGAGUAACACGUGGAUAACCUACCUAUAAGACUGGGAUAACUUCGGGAAACCGGAGCUAAUACCGGAUAAUAUAUUGAACCGCAUGGUUCAAUAGUGAAAGACGGUUUUGCUGUCACUUAUAGAUGGAUCCGCGCCGCAUUAGCUAGUUGGUAAGGUAACGGCUUACCAAGGCAACGAUGCGUAGCCGACCUGAGAGGGUGAUCGGCCACACUGGACCUGAGACACGGUCCAGACUCCUACGGGAGGCAGCAGUAGGGAAUCUUCCGCAAUGGGCGAAAGCCUGACGGAGCAACGCCGCGUGAGUGAUGAAGGUCUUCGGAUCGUAAAACUCUGUUAUUCGGGAAGAACAAAUGUGUAAGUAACUAUGCACGUAUUGACGGUACCUAAUCAGAAAGCCACGGCUAACUACGUG
RNAcentral lists this ribosomal RNA (497 nucleotides) under uncultured bacterium. Its description in RNAcentral is "partial 16S ribosomal RNA". It matches the Rfam family "Bacterial small subunit ribosomal RNA", at positions 28 to 507 of the family's 1533-position model. The record is from RNAcentral.